This is a long non-coding RNA of Equus caballus (horse), 1677 nucleotides long. RefSeq lists it as uncharacterized. The record is from RefSeq and is a predicted model, not a curated record. NCBI's taxonomy places the organism in Eukaryota, Metazoa, Chordata, Mammalia, Perissodactyla, Equidae.
CUUCAGUUCUCCUCACAAGAAGACUAGCACUAUCCGUAGACAAGACAGCAUUGUGAUGAUUUUAGAACCUGGGAACGCGGCUGAAGCACCCUCCUGGACCACAGAUACUGAGGAGGACCACAAUAGAACUGUAAGAAGAGCGCCUACACUGACCGCACCUUCUGCCCUCGGGGCUGCACAAAAUCCACUGGAGACCUACGGUUUCUCCAGUGGGAAAAGAGACAAGGAAGAAGUCUACAUUGGUACGUACUGGAAGAUGAAGUGAGUUUGAAAACACAAGCAGAGGGAGCACCUCCUAAUCAUUCUAUGAGGCCAUAAUUACCAUAAUAUCCAAAAAAGAUAACGCAUUACAAGAAAACUACAGACCAACAUCUCUUAUGAAGGAGAAGAAGCAUGUGGAUUCUCAGAAAAAUGUUUCUACUGAUCUUCAUACCCAAAUUUGAAGGUAAUCAUAGAGAAAUCUCUAGGAAGAAUAAAGUACCAUAAAACCCAAAGUCUCAGAUACAUCCUCUGAUAUCUCAAGCUUGAGUUCUAACCUCUGCAACAUGAGAAUUGAUGAGUGUCUUCGGAGUAAAGCCGAUGUUUACAUAAAAAUUCAUUUGGCUGAGGAUGCUUCACUUCCUUCAAAGGUCUAUGGAGAUGCUUUGUAAUAGGAGAAAAAUUUAAAAAUGAAGAGAAGACCAAAGAAUGAAAAAAACUUAUUCAACACCAUGUAUUUUUUUUUAAAGCUACUUUGAUUCUAGAUCUCUGUUUAUGCCAUGUGAAAAAGCCCAAGCUAUCCUGCUGUAUGCUAAAGACACAUUACCCUGACAACCCUGUUGUACAGCCUAUAGCCAAUAACUGCAAUGUGAUUGAGGCCUUCUUAGAGCACCAGUUCCCAGCCAACACACCAGCUGCCUGCAGAUGCAUGAAUGAACCCAGCCAAGAUCAGCUGAGUCUGGCUCAGUUGAGCAGAAGCACCUCACUGGCCAUAGACUUAUUCGCAAUAAUAAAUGCUCUUUGUUUUAAAUCGCUGAGUUUUGGAACAAUAGCUAAUGGGCAUACCCCAUUCAACAAAUAAUUAAUUUCCCUCAGUUUUUGUUAAUUAUUUAAUUAGUUUUUAUAUAUAGUGUUAAUAGUUUUCCCAUUAGGUGUUAGAAUGAACCCUUAAUUAUAAGAAUGCAAAAUACCUCCAUUUCUCCAAGAUUAUUUAUAUUCUGUUAGAAGAUAAACAAUGGAAAUGUUUACUAGUAUUUUGUAAUAUUUUAUGACUACUUCAAGUGUUUUGCAAACCCUUCUCUUUUAAAUUGAUUAUGAGGUGUAGUUUAUUAUCACGUAAUCAUCGUGCUAAGUAACUUGGCAUAUUUGAAUAUCUCAGAUUGUUUGAACUUUGUCUUUAUUAGUGGAUUUCUGUGAUAUGUUUGUUAACUUAUGUAUAGUGAAUUAAAUUUCUGUCGUUUAUAUUUUUAGUUCUUUUCAAAUUGCUCAUAAUGUUAGCUGAAAAGAGUAUAAUUUAGAAUAGAAUUAUAUAGUUUGGUCUGAUAGCUAGGUAGGCAGAAUAAAUAGACGGACAGAUAGAUAGAUAGAUAGAUAGAUAGAUAGAUAGAUGGACAGAUAGCUGGGAAAGCACAUAGAUGCAUGCAAACUGCUUAGCACAAUGCCUGGCAUGUCAUUUACCCUCAAUAAAUAUUAAUUCGG